RNAcentral lists this transfer RNA (85 nucleotides) under Nitrosomonas sp. RNAcentral's name for it is "tRNA-Leu". It matches the Rfam family "tRNA". From Rfam's summary of the family: Transfer RNA (tRNA) molecules are approximately 80 nucleotides in length. Their secondary structure includes four short double-helical elements and three loops (D, anti-codon, and T loops). Further hydrogen bonds mediate the characteristic L-shaped molecular structure. tRNAs have two regions of fundamental functional importance: the anti-codon, which is responsible for specific mRNA codon recognition, and the 3' end, to which the tRNAs corresponding amino acid is attached (by aminoacyl-tRNA synthetases). tRNAs cope with the degeneracy of the genetic code in two manners: having more than one tRNA (with a specific anti-codon) for a particular amino acid; and 'wobble' base-pairing, i.e. permitting non-standard base-pairing at the 3rd anti-codon position. Lineage: Bacteria; Pseudomonadati; Pseudomonadota; Betaproteobacteria; Nitrosomonadales; Nitrosomonadaceae. RNAcentral also lists the same sequence under 4 other names. The record is from RNAcentral.
GCGAAAGUGGCGGAAUUGGUAGACGCACCAGAUUUAGGUUCUGGCGCCGUAAGGUGUGGGGGUUCGAGUCCCCCCUUUCGCACCA